AACAGAGUGGCAAGUUGGAUAAGAAACAUAAGACCUAUCUGUCUGCUGUUUUCAAGAGACCCACCUCACAUGUAACUACACUCAUAGGCUCAGCAUUAAGGGUUGGUGAAAGAUCUAUCAUGCAGACAGAAUCAAAAAGAGAUAAAGAUGAAACAGACUUUUAACCAGUAAUAGUCAAAAAGGAUAGAGCAGGCAUUACAUAAUGAUAAAGAAGUCAAUUCAACAAGAAGACUUAACUAUUCUAAAUAUAUGUGCACCCAAUAUUGGAGCACCCAGUUUCAAAAAACAAGUACUUCCAGACCUACAAAAAGACUUGAACAGUCACACAAUAAUAUUCAGGGGCUGCAAAACCCCACUGACAGCAUUAGGCAGAUCAUUCAGGCAUAAAAGUCACAAAGAAAUUCGGGACUUAAACUUGACACGUGACCAAUUGGACAUAAUAGUAGACAUCUACAGAACUCUCCACUCAUCAACCACAGAAUAUAAAUUCUUCUCAUCUGCACAUGGAAGAUGCUCCAAGAUUGACUACAUGCUUGGCCAUAAAAAUGUCUGAAUACAUUUUUUA
Sapajus apella (tufted capuchin) is the source of this 565-nucleotide long non-coding RNA. RefSeq lists it as uncharacterized. Lineage: Eukaryota; Metazoa; Chordata; Mammalia; Primates; Cebidae. The record is from RefSeq and is a predicted model, not a curated record. The transcript has 2 exons.